Long non-coding RNA from Felis catus (domestic cat), 681 nucleotides. RefSeq lists it as uncharacterized. The record is from RefSeq and is a predicted model, not a curated record. Lineage: Eukaryota; Metazoa; Chordata; Mammalia; Carnivora; Felidae. The transcript is spliced from 3 exons.
CAUGCUAUGGAGUGUUUUACAAGACUAAGUUAUAAUUAAUAACAAGGUUACUCUAAUUUUUCUGUUUUUCAGGACUUCUUACCCUGGCACACUAUGGAAAUACGAUGCAAAGUAUAUAUUAAAUUCAGAAAGCUCUGUUUUCUCCAUCAAUCCUCAUCAUGGUGUCAUAAACCUUGAAGUGAUAAACACACUCCAGAAAGACCAGAGGACAUGGCUUCUUCAGCAGUGUCUAUUCCAAAGCAUAAAUGUGGAUCUUCAGUACCCAAACCCUUUUGAAGUCCCAGUGGCAAAUGAACUGUGUAGAUAUAAUUCAUGCAGGUCAACUAGAAUGGACAAAAAGCAAAGUAGCAAAGGAUAGAAAAUGGAAUUGGAAUGGCAAGUAGAAGCUAUUUAUCACAUUUGGUGCUUGUUUUCUUUAUUGAUUUCAGAGAAAACUAAAGAGAUGAUAUAGUCAUUUUAUUUUUUUACUUAACUUCUUUCUUUAUUCUUUCAGUGAGCCCUCAAUAGAUGCCACUCCUUUUCCCCAGCAAAUUAUACACUUCUAUAGUUUCUACUGAAUUUCUUUUGUCCUUCCACUAAUGAAAUUGAGAAGCCAAGACAGGAGCUAAAUAAUAGAAUGUUCCCCCAAGUGCACUUCUUUUACAUUAAAUUUGUCCCGCUUUAACUCUGAUAUCCUCAAAA